AGAGUUUGAUCCUGGCUCAGAUUGAACGCUGGCGGCAGGCCUAACACAUGCAAGUCGAGCGGUAGCACAGAGAGCUUGCUCUCGGGUGACGAGCGGCGGACGGGUGAGUAAUGUCUGGGAAACUGCCUGAUGGAGGGGGAUAACUACUGGAAACGGUAGCUAAUACCGCAUAACGUCGCAAGACCAAAGUGGGGGACCUUCGGGCCUCAUGCCAUCAGAUGUGCCCAGAUGGGAUUAGCUAGUAGGUGGGGUAACGGCUCACCUAGGCGACGAUCCCUAGCUGGUCUGAGAGGAUGACCAGCCACACUGGAACUGAGACACGGUCCAGACUCCUACGGGAGGCAGCAGUGGGGAAUAUUGCACAAUGGGCGCAAGCCUGAUGCAGCCAUGCCGCGUGUGUGAAGAAGGCCUUCGGGUUGUAAAGCACUUUCAGCGGGGAGGAAGGCGGUGAGGUUAAUAACCUCAUCGAUUGACGUUACCCGCAGAAGAAGCACCGGCUAACUCCGUGCCAGCAGCCGCGGUAAUACGGAGGGUGCAAGCGUUAAUCGGAAUUACUGGGCGUAAAGCGCACGCAGGCGGUCUGUCAAGUCGGAUGUGAAAUCCCCGGGCUCAACCUGGGAACUGCAUUCGAAACUGGCAGGCUAGAGUCUUGUAGAGGGGGGUAGAAUUCCAGGUGUAGCGGUGAAAUGCGUAGAGAUCUGGAGGAAUACCGGUGGCGAAGGCGGCCCCCUGGACAAAGACUGACGCUCAGGUGCGAAAGCGUGGGGAGCAAACAGGAUUAGAUACCCUGGUAGUCCACGCCGUAAACGAUGUCGAUUUGGAGGUUGUGCCCUUGAGGCGUGGCUUCCGGAGCUAACGCGUUAAAUCGACCGCCUGGGGAGUACGGCCGCAAGGUUAAAACUCAAAUGAAUUGACGGGGGCCCGCACAAGCGGUGGAGCAUGUGGUUUAAUUCGAUGCAACGCGAAGAACCUUACCUGGUCUUGACAUCCACAGAACUUUCCAGAGAUGGAUUGGUGCCUUCGGGAACUGUGAGACAGGUGCUGCAUGGCUGUCGUCAGCUCGUGUUGUGAAAUGUUGGGUUAAGUCCCGCAACGAGCGCAACCCUUAUCCUUUGUUGCCAGCGGUUAGGCCGGGAACUCAAAGGAGACUGCCAGUGAUAAACUGGAGGAAGGUGGGGAUGACGUCAAGUCAUCAUGGCCCUUACGACCAGGGCUACACACGUGCUACAAUGGCAUAUACAAAGAGAAGCGAUCUCGCGAGAGCAAGCGGACCUCAUAAAGUAUGUCGUAGUCCGGAUUGGAGUCUGCAACUCGACUCCAUGAAGUCGGAAUCGCUAGUAAUCGUAGAUCAGAAUGCUACGGUGAAUACGUUCCCGGGCCUUGUACACACCGCCCGUCACACCAUGGGAGUGGGUUGCAAAAGAAGUAGGUAGCUUAACCUUCGGGAGGGCGCUUACCACUUUGUGAUUCAUGACUGGGGUGAAGUCGUAACAAGGUAACC
RNAcentral lists this ribosomal RNA (1501 nucleotides) under Klebsiella sp. Its description in RNAcentral is "bacterial SSU rRNA". It matches the Rfam family "Bacterial small subunit ribosomal RNA". The record is from RNAcentral. Lineage: Bacteria; Pseudomonadati; Pseudomonadota; Gammaproteobacteria; Enterobacterales; Enterobacteriaceae.